RNAcentral lists this ribosomal RNA (460 nucleotides) under uncultured bacterium. RNAcentral's name for it is "partial 16S ribosomal RNA". It matches the Rfam family "Bacterial small subunit ribosomal RNA", at positions 339 to 795 of the family's 1533-position model. The record is from RNAcentral.
CUACGGGUGGCAGCAGUAAGGAAUAUUGCGCAAUGGAGGCAACUCUGACGCAGCCAUGCCGCGUGCAGGAAGAAGGCCUUAUGGGUCGUAAACUGCUUUUAUUUAGGAAUAAACCCCCGAACGUGUUCGGGGCUGAAGGUACUAAACGAAUAAGCACCGGCUAACUCCGUGCCAGCAGCGCGCGGUAAUACGGAGGGUGCAAGCGUUAUCCGGAUUUAUUGGGUUUAAAGGGUGCGCAGGCGGGCUAUUAAGUCAGUGGUGAAAUCCCGGGGCUCAACUCCGGAACUGCCAUUGAUACUGGUAGUCUUGAGUUUGGUUGAAGUGGGCGGAAUGUAGCAUGUAGCGGUGAAAUGCAUAGAUAUGCUACAGAACACCAAUCGCGAAGGCAGCUCACUAAGCCAAAACUGACGCUCAUGCACGAAAGCGUGGGGAGCGAACAGGAUUAGAUACCCCAGUAGUC